UUUUGGAAGUAAAAAGCGUAACAAGGUUUCCGUAGGUGAACCUUCGGAAGGAUCAUUA
Molecule: ribosomal RNA, 58 nt
Filed under: Wickerhamiella pararugosa
Lineage: Eukaryota; Fungi; Ascomycota; Dipodascomycetes; Dipodascales; Trichomonascaceae
Description: partial 18S ribosomal RNA
Rfam family: Eukaryotic small subunit ribosomal RNA
Source: RNAcentral